Trichonephila clavata is the source of this 73-nucleotide non-coding RNA. The record is from the annotation of a GenBank genome assembly. NCBI's taxonomy places the organism in Eukaryota, Metazoa, Arthropoda, Arachnida, Araneae, Nephilidae.
GUCUCUGUAACGCAAUGGAUAGCGCCUUGAAUUUCUAAUCCAAAGGUCAUGGGUUCGAAGCCCACCUGGGAUG